RNAcentral lists this long non-coding RNA (278 nucleotides) under Solanum tuberosum (potato). RNAcentral describes it as "long non-coding RNA (STUB_LNC000446)". The record is from RNAcentral. Lineage: Eukaryota; Viridiplantae; Streptophyta; Magnoliopsida; Solanales; Solanaceae.
AAACACAAACAGAAAAGGAUCUUAAAUAGAUUGAGAAUAGGGUUGAUUUUUGGGCAAAAUCCGUUUGAAUUUUGAAUCUUCCUCUUCCUUUCCGAGGCAACAGUAAAGUAAUAGGGAGUUGUUGUUGCUCUGAAACUCCGAAAAGGGGGGAAAACCGGGAUGAUUGGACGUGAGGAUGACAUACGUAUGGGCGGACACUGUUGCACCGGAAUUUACUGCUGGAUUUUCGGAUUUGCCGGGAUUUCUGUGUGAAGAAGACGGUAUGGGCAGUGGGGUAG